UGUAGCUUAGGUUGAAUUAAUCUUGAAAGUUUUUCAAUUUUUGAAAGCCUGCAAUCACACUCGCCGUACAAAAAGUGGUGAACCAGUCGAAGGCGCCGAGGGUUCAACAGAGUUACAGUGUAGGAUCGAGCAGGGGUCCAACGGAGCUCGCAGGGGUCGAUGCGCGGCAUGGAGGGUAGGAUCGAGCUGGAGAAGCUGAUGCAGCAGUACAUGAAGCAGCAGCAGCAGGCGGCGGUGGUGAUGACGAUGAGGUCGUCGUAGAGGGUGCGACGGAGCAGCAGCGUCGCGAUGGGGAGGAUCGGCGAGGAGAGCGAGGUGGGCGAGGAUGAUAGUAAUCAUGGCGUCGAUGAGAUGAAGCUACGUUUCUGAAAAUCUGAAAUUGAAGGAAAGCGUUGGGGAAGACGAGAAAAACGAGAUCGUAAGGGUGAACAAGGGAAUUAAAGAGAAAUUCCCUUCGAUUGAAAAGCUGUGCGUUGGGGAAAACUUCUCUUCGGCAAGGGCGAAGCCACGAAGGGGUAUUCUAUCGGUUCGAUUGCGGUUUUCCGAUGAGUGAGUGAAUUGGAGACGUUGAAUGAGGCGAAGGAUAAGGUUGAGGAGUUUCUCGAUGACGUAUUGGCGGUGGAUUUCACCGUUCCGGCGGAACAAUAUGCUAAUCUCUUAGGAAAUGGCUUCAUAAAUUUAAAUGACUUAUUUGCCCUUGAUAAUAACGGUGGAAAUGAUCAAUUUCUAACGGUGGAUGACAUUGGGUACCGUUUCAAAAGACAGAGGAUUAAAUUGGGUACGAAAAAUACUUUGGGACUAAAUCGAGUAUUAGCUAAUAGUCGGAGGACCAUUUUGGGUAUUAACUCUUUUAGUUUCAUCAACUAAAUUAAUAACUUAUUGAGUGAGGAGGGAAACUCGCAGUCAUUACCCGAGAGUAUGCACGGGAUAAGCUACGCCUUGUGAUCCUAGACGGCAAAUGACUACAAUGAGGUAAAUCAGCCUAAUUUGUCCAUGGCUGGGCGACUCAAAUCAAGAACUCAAGAAGGCCAAUAGGCCACUCCCGUGGGAAUUUGAACUUAUAGCCUUGUGGUUACCAAGUCAACAACGUGGUCAACUUGACUAGGAUUGUUCCUAAUUAGUACUUAUCGCCCCUCCCCCUCCCUUUUGUGGUUGCUUCAACCUUUCUUCAAUUUGUAAUGUCAUAAAUUUUAAUCAUUUCAAUGUCUUCAAAUUUGUACUUUGCUUAAUUUUAAUGAUUUUAAUAUCUUCGAUUUCCUAGUUUUCUUAA
Ipomoea triloba (trilobed morning glory) is the source of this 1270-nucleotide long non-coding RNA. RefSeq lists it as uncharacterized. NCBI's taxonomy places the organism in Eukaryota, Viridiplantae, Streptophyta, Magnoliopsida, Solanales, Convolvulaceae. The transcript has 2 exons. The record is from RefSeq and is a predicted model, not a curated record.